This 492-nucleotide ribosomal RNA is filed under the name uncultured bacterium. Its description in RNAcentral is "partial 16S ribosomal RNA". It matches the Rfam family "Bacterial small subunit ribosomal RNA", at positions 29 to 507 of the family's 1533-position model. The record is from RNAcentral.
AGUGAACGCUGGCGGUAGGCCUAACACAUGCAAGUCGAACGGCAGCACAGUAAGAGCUUGCUCUUACGGGUGGCGAGUGGCGGACGGGUGAGGAAUACAUCGGAAUCUACUUUUUCGUGGGGGAUAACGUAGGGAAACUUACGCUGAUACCGCAUACGACCUACGGGUGAAAGCAGGGGAUCUUCGGACCUUGCGCGAUUGAAUGAGCCGAUGUCGGAUUAGCUAGUUGGCGGGGUAAAGGCCCACCAAGGCGACGAUCCGUAGCUGGUCUGAGAGGAUGAUCAGCCACACUGGAACUGAGACACGGUCCAGACUCCUACGGGAGGCAGCAGUGGGGAAUAUUGGGCAAUGGGCGCAAGCCUGAUCCAGCCAUACCGCGUGGGUGAAGAAGGCCUUCGGGUUGUAAAGCCCUUUUGUUGGGAAAGAAAAGCAGCAGGUUAAUACCCCGCUGUUCUGACGGUACCCAAAGAAUAAGCACCGGCUAACUUCGUG